Molecule: ribosomal RNA, 294 nt
Filed under: uncultured bacterium
Lineage: Bacteria
Description: partial 16S ribosomal RNA
Rfam family: Bacterial small subunit ribosomal RNA
Source: RNAcentral
GCCUACGGGCGCAGCAGUGGGGAAUAUUGCACAAUGGGGGAAACCCUGAUGCAGCGACGCCGCGUGAGUGAAGAAGUAUUUCGGUAUGUAAAGCUCUAUCAGCAGGAACGAGACAAGACGGUACCUGACUAAGAAGCCACGGCUAACUACGUGCCAGCAGCCGCGGUAAUACGUAGGGGGCAAGCGUUAUCCGGAAUCACUGGGUGUAAAGGGAGCGUAGACGGCUGAGCAAGCCUGAAGUGAAAGGCGGGGGCCCAGCCCCGGGCAUGGUUUGGAACCGGAACGGCUGGAGGG